RNAcentral lists this ribosomal RNA (698 nucleotides) under uncultured bacterium. RNAcentral's name for it is "bacterial SSU rRNA". It matches the Rfam family "Bacterial small subunit ribosomal RNA", at positions 60 to 748 of the family's 1533-position model. The record is from RNAcentral.
AGUCGAGCGGCAGCGGAAGUAGCUUGCUACUUUGCCGGCGAGUGGCGGACGGGUGAGUAAUGUCUGGGGAACUGCCUGAUGGAGGGGGAUAACUACUGGAAACGGUAGCUAAUACCGCAUAACGUCGCAAGACCAAAGAGGGGGACCUUCGGGCCUCUUGCCAUCAGAUGUGCCCAGAUGGGAUUAGCUAGUAGGUGGGGUAACGGCUCACCUAGGCGACGAUCCCUAGCUGGUCUGAGAGGAUGACCAGCCACACUGGAACUGAGACACGGUCCAGACUCCUACGGGAGGCAGCAGUGGGGAAUAUUGCACAAUGGGCGCAAGCCUGAUGCAGCCAUGCCGCGUGUAUGAAGAAGGCCUUCGGGUUGUAAAGUACUUUCAGCGGGGAGGAAGGCGCUGAGGUUAAUAACCUCAGCGAUUGACGUUACCCGCAGAAGAAGCACCGGCUAACUCCGUGCCAGCAGCCGCGGUAAUACGGAGGGUGCAAGCGUUAAUCGGAAUUACUGGGCGUAAAGCGCACGCAGGCGGUCUGUCAAGUCGGAUGUGAAAUCCCCGGGCUCAACCUGGGAACUGCAUUCGAAACUGGCAGGCUAGAGUCUUGUAGAGGGGGGUAGAAUUCCAGGUGUAGCGGUGAAAUGCGUAGAGAUCUGGAGGAAUACCGGUGGCGAAGGCGGCCCCCUGGACAAAGACUGACGCUC